UAAGGAAUAUUGGUCAAUGGAGGCAACUCUGAACCAGCCAUGCCGCGUGCAGGAAGACAGCCCUCUGGGUCGUAAACUGCUUUUAUUCGGGAAUAAACCCAUCUACGUGUAGAUGGCUGAAUGUACCGAAGGAAUAAGGAUCGGCUAACUCCGUGCCAGCAGCCGCGGUAAUACGGAGGAUCCAAGCGUUAUCCGGAUUUAUUGGGUUUAAAGGGUGCGUAGGCGGCUUAUUAAGUCAGGGGUGAAAGACGGUGGCUCAACCAUCGCAGUGCCUUUGAUACUGAUGAGCUUGAAUAUACUAGAGGUAGGCGGAAUGUGACAAGUAGCGGUGAAAUGCAUAGAUAUGUCACAGAACACCGAUUGCGAAGGCAGCUUACUAUGGUAUUAUUGACGAUGAGGCACGAAAGCGUGGGGAUCAAACAGG
Molecule: ribosomal RNA, 424 nt
Filed under: Acidobacteriota bacterium
Lineage: Bacteria; Pseudomonadati; Acidobacteriota
Description: Acidobacteria bacterium partial 16S ribosomal RNA
Rfam family: Bacterial small subunit ribosomal RNA
Source: RNAcentral